GAGGGUAUAGCUCAAGUGGUAGAGCACAUGCUUAGCAUGCAUGAGGUCCUGGGUUCAAUCCUCAGUACCUCCU
Molecule: transfer RNA, 73 nt
Filed under: Camelus bactrianus (Bactrian camel)
Lineage: Eukaryota; Metazoa; Chordata; Mammalia; Artiodactyla; Camelidae
Also listed under: 2 other names
Rfam family: tRNA
About the family: Transfer RNA (tRNA) molecules are approximately 80 nucleotides in length. Their secondary structure includes four short double-helical elements and three loops (D, anti-codon, and T loops). Further hydrogen bonds mediate the characteristic L-shaped molecular structure. tRNAs have two regions of fundamental functional importance: the anti-codon, which is responsible for specific mRNA codon recognition, and the 3' end, to which the tRNAs corresponding amino acid is attached (by aminoacyl-tRNA synthetases). tRNAs cope with the degeneracy of the genetic code in two manners: having more than one tRNA (with a specific anti-codon) for a particular amino acid; and 'wobble' base-pairing, i.e. permitting non-standard base-pairing at the 3rd anti-codon position.
Source: Rfam by way of RNAcentral